Molecule: ribosomal RNA, 519 nt
Filed under: uncultured eukaryote
Lineage: Eukaryota
Description: SSU rRNA
Rfam family: Eukaryotic small subunit ribosomal RNA
Source: RNAcentral
AGGGCACCACCAGGAGUGGAGCCUGCGGCUUAAUUUGACUCAACACGGGAAAACUCACCCGGCCCGGACACUGGAAGGAUUGACAGAUUGAGAGCUCUUUCUUGAUUCAGUGGGUGGUGGUGCAUGGCCGUUCUUAGUUGGUGGAGUGAUUUGUCUGGUUAAUUCCGGUAACGAACGAGACUCUAGCCUACUAAAUAGGUCGUCGGCUUACAAACGCCGGCGAGACUUCUUAGAGGGACAGGCGGUGAUUCAACCGCACGAAACAGAGCAAUAACAGGUCUGUGAUGCCCUUAGAUGUCCGGGGCCGCACGCGCGCUACACUGAAGUGAUCAGCGUGCUUUUUCAACCUACUCUGUCAAGAGUGGGGAACCCAAUGAACCUUCUUCGUGAUUGGGAUAGGGGAUUGUAAUUAUUCCCCUUGAACGAGGAAUUCCCAGUAAGCGCGAGUCAUAAGCUCGCGUUGAUUACGUCCCUGCCCUUUGUACACACCGCCCGUCGCUACUACCGAUUGAAUGUUUU